CAGCAGCCACGGUAAAACGUAGGGGGCGGGCGUUGUCCGAAGUUACUGGGCGUAAAGCGCGCGUAGGCGGCUUCUUAAGUCUGAGGUGAAAGGUUCAACGCUUAACGUGAACAGUGCCUUGGAUACUGGGGAGCUUGAGUAUGGGAGAGGGCAGUGGAAUGGCUGGUGUAGCGGUGAAAUGCGUAGAUAUCAGUCGGAACACCCAUGGCGAAGGCAGCUGCCUGGCCUAAUACUGACGCUGAGGUGCGAAAGCGUGGGGAGCGAACGGGAUUAGAUACCCCAGUAGUCCCUGUCUCUUAUA
Molecule: ribosomal RNA, 301 nt
Filed under: uncultured bacterium
Lineage: Bacteria
Description: partial 16S ribosomal RNA
Rfam family: Bacterial small subunit ribosomal RNA
Source: RNAcentral